AAUAUAGUGCCUGAUAAAAGGAUAGUUUUGAUAGGACUAAUCAUGUAACUUAUGUUACCUAUAUUA
Molecule: transfer RNA, 66 nt
Filed under: Cyclograpsus intermedius
Lineage: Eukaryota; Metazoa; Arthropoda; Malacostraca; Decapoda; Varunidae
Description: tRNA-Ile
Source: RNAcentral